UUUUUUUUUUUUUCAUUUAUAGUGAUUUUUAUUUUUUCCAUUAGAGCUGGUUUACAGUGUUCUGUCAAUUUUCUACUGUACAGCAUGGUGACCCAGUUACACAUACAUGUAUACCUUCUUUUCUCUCACAUUAUCAUGCUCCAUCAUAAGUGACUAGACAUUAUAUCCAUUUUUAAGCACUUAAUUUUCAAUGCAUAUUAAUUCUCUUUUUAUGAUUUUUAUUUUUCCAUUAUACUUGAUUUACAGUGUUCCAUGUUAAGUCUCUUAAUCCUCUUUUCUUUUCCUUUCUCAACUAAAAAAUACAGAAUGGAAAAAGCAGGCUUGUGUGAUGGUCCCCCAUGGAGACAAAGCAGAGCCUGGAACCAGGGCUGCAUCUGAGCCGGUAGAUCUGGUCCCUUCCAGACUCUGGUGAGGCAGAUGCAGCUGCAGAUGUGGGGUGCUCAGGGCGCCCUCCUUCCCUCUAGUCCAAGGCACACACUUUGCACACACUUGGGAAACAGGUCCCAAGUCAUUGAAAUUGCACAAGGAAGAAAGCUGGAGAUUCAUCACUGAGAAUCUUCAGAGAAAAAAAGUCAGUGAAGCCAAGUUGUCUUGGGAACCCAACUUUUCUCCUCCCAUCCCCCCAAAUGGCUUUAUCAGAAAGUAUCACCACGAAGAGGUCCUUUAAUCAACAACCACUUGCGGUCUCUUGCAAAGACUAUUUGGUUGGAAUUUCUCAACUUUUAAAUUUCCUUUCAGACAGAUCAAUUUGGAGAGCUCAACUUUUUAGUAUUUCCCAGCGUCAGUCUCCACAGCUGACGCCCUCACCCAAGGGUGACACUUCAUUUAUGCCAACAUCCUAAAUCUGGAUUAUACAAUUUCGGUAACCCUAACUCAGUUACACAAACUACUGGGAAUACUAACCACACCCUUCUCUCCACAGGAUGAAGGAGGAAAAAGACUAAGGAGGUUUGGAAGCUGGGACACUGGACCCCUGCCCAGGCUUCUUCCCAUCCCUAGGCCAUGGUGGGACCUGCCUCCUGGGGCCUCAGAGCCCACCGGGCCGGGCGGUUCUACUGCUAAUACUCGGACAAGGGCGGGAGGUGCCUGCUGCCCCAGAGGACAUAGAGCAAGACCUGCCUGGCACUCCCUUCAUCUCAGGUCAACAAGCUCAGGUCAGAUGCAUUUGUAACAAAAAGGCUUUCCUGCAGGCCCCCUACCACAGUAACAGAAUAUAGAGACACUAGCUCCUUCGAGCCUCACACCUAACAGGAGGUCAGCACACCUGCAUAAAGGUUCUAGGGCACCUCCUCCGUGCUCUUGCCUGUAACUGACAGAGCACUGAGGGGCAAAGAAAGUCAUGUGCAGAAAUGUUAACACAGGAGUUCCUGUGGUGGCUCAGUGGUUAACGAAUCCGACUAGGAACCAUGAGGAAUGUGUAUUCUGAAAACUUUUUACGGAGCCACUUCCGGGAGGUGGAAGCCAGGCAUCUAUCCCCAAACACGGCUCCCAUGGAAAUUGUCUGGGCGGUUUUUUGCAAAGAAGGCUCCUGAGCCACGUCCAGGCCCACGGGACCCGUGUUACAAGAAUGGAAAACCGAGCGAGACUUCACAGGUGGCCAGGAUUAAUCAGGGAUUAGUUUGGGAUUAACACACACACACAUUACUAUAUAUAAGAUAGAUAAGCAACAAGGGCCUACUGUACAGCACAGGAAAUUCUACUGAAUAGUCUAAUAACCUAUACAGGAAAAGAAUCUGAAAAAGAAUAAAUCUGUGUACAUGCACAACUGGUUCACUUUGCUGUACACCUGAAACUAACACAACAUUGCAAAUCAAGUACACUCCGACAGAAAAUAAACAUUAAAUUUUUAGAAAGUGAUGGCAAGAUAAAGCACUUCACAAAGUACUGGUCUAUCCUGGUCUCACCGUAGCAGCUGGAGGGGAACUGGGCGACCCCUUCCAUGGCCACAUAACCCCCUCGUGGCCCCCUGACGUGUGCAAGUUGCAAAGGAAACAGGAGGAGGUGCUCAUCCUCAGCCCUCCUCCUGGCCCCAAAUUUGGUCCAGGAACAAGCAGAGUAUGAGACGCAAUUAGCAGCCCUGAGCUCUUAAUGAAAACCCAGACAUGUCCAUAGCGAUGACCUCAAAUGGCAGCUGGCACUCAGGGCAGAGAGCAAACUGCACAUUCAGGGAGCUGGUUCUCUAACCCCGGGCAGCUGUAACGUUGAGACAGUGGGCCUGCCCCUCCCAAGCUGCUCCUCUUCUUUGAAAAAGAGCUACAGAACCAAUUCCAUGCUCAAGUGUGUGUGUCCAGGGGGACAGGGGAGUUUCUUGAUGGAAAAUAGCCUAAAUUCGAAUUAUACUAGUGACAUGAGCCUUCCACGGCACAUACAAGAACUCUCCUCCAAAGAUAAAAUAUCCCAUGCAAUGCGGGCCUGAAGAAG
This 2421-nucleotide long non-coding RNA is filed under the name Sus scrofa (pig). RNAcentral describes it as "lncRNA (ENSSSCG00025027167.1, ENSSSCG00035022979.1, ENSSSCG00065070584.1)". Lineage: Eukaryota; Metazoa; Chordata; Mammalia; Artiodactyla; Suidae. The record is from RNAcentral.